GUAGAAGAGCUUUGCACAAACAGUUUGUGCGAAAUCGAGAAGCGCGUGUUCUGCGCGAUGUUACGGAGUUAGAUAAGCGCAAAUGUAGUUCAUUUUCAAACUGUUUUUCAGAAGUUGAAGGCGCAUUGAUGACCAGUGGGACCAAGGGCCUUUGGUGGUUAAAUAUGCCUUUAUAUACAUGGACACCAGAUGCAUGUGCUUAGAAAGAUGAUUUUUGAUUAAGAACUCAGAGCAAGAGUAUCUUUAAUGGUGUAUACAAAUUUGACAAACAACGCAUUUUAAUGUCUGAUAACUACAUUUCCUAUCCAUCAGUUCUACUUCAUGAAAGUUAGUUUUGGUUUGUGAGUGCAUUAAAUGUUUUACAGCAGAUUCUUUAGCUACAUUAUCAAAACUUAUCUGGGUGGCAAGUUUAUGGGACUUACUGACCAAAAGGUCAUGGUGAAUAGCUGUAAGUCAUAAAGUAGAUGAAAUUCUUGACCAAGAUGUAUCCUUCAGUAGUUUCUUCAAAGUGUCUAAAUAUGUUUCCAGCCCUCUAUUGGUUUACCACCAAAAUAUUUGUAUUUCAAAGAUCUGUGCAAAGAUUUGGCGUGCAUGUUGGUGUUAAUGCCUGCGUUCUUUUGAUAACACUGGGCCCAUGACUUCAUGCGCUCUUUAUUUUGAAAGUAGCAUUCCAAUAUGUAGCUGUAACUAUCAUCUGUCAUGAAAUAAUUGGGUACCAGAACCGA
Molecule: long non-coding RNA, 725 nt
Organism: Zophobas morio
Lineage: Eukaryota; Metazoa; Arthropoda; Insecta; Coleoptera; Tenebrionidae
Exons: 2
Source: RefSeq, a predicted model, not a curated record